CCUACGGGCGGCAGCAGUGAGGAAUAUUGGUCAAUGGACGAGAGUCUGAACCAGCCAAGUAGCGUGAAGGAUGACUGCCCUAUGGGUUGUAAACUUCUUUUAUAUGGGAAUAAAAUGUUCCACGUGUGGGAUUUUGUAUGUACCAUAUGAAUAAGGAUCGGCUAACUCCGUGCCAGCAGCCGCGGUAAUACGGAGGAUCCGAGCGUUAUCCGGAUUUAUUGGGUUUAAAGGGAGCGUAGGUGGAUUGUUAAGUCAGUUGUGAAAGUUUGCGGCUCAACCGUAAAAUUGCAGUUGAAACUGGCAGGCUUGAGUACAGGAGAGGUGGGCGGAAUUCGUGGUGUAGCGGUGAAAUGCUUAGAUAUCACGAAGAACUCCGAUGGCGAAGGCAGCUCACUGGACUGCAACUGACACUGAGGCUCGAAAGUGUGGGUAUCAAACAGGAUUAGAUACCCGGGUAGUC
This 460-nucleotide ribosomal RNA is filed under the name uncultured bacterium. RNAcentral's name for it is "partial 16S ribosomal RNA". It matches the Rfam family "Bacterial small subunit ribosomal RNA", at positions 338 to 795 of the family's 1533-position model. The record is from RNAcentral.